GAUGAACGCUGGCGGCGUGCCUAAUACAUGCAAGUCGAGCGAACAGACGAGGAGCUUGCUCCUCUGACGUUAGCGGCGGACGGGUGAGUAACACGUGGAUAACCUACCUAUAAGACUGGGAUAACUUCGGAAAACCGGAGCCAAUAACGCAUAAUAUAUUGAACCGCAUGGUUCAAUAGUGAAAGACGGUUUUGCUGUCACUUAUAGAUGGAUCCGCGCCGCAUUAGCUAGUUGGUAGGGUAACGGCUUACCAAGGCGACGAUGCGUAGCUGACCUGAGAGGGUGAUCGGCCACACUGGAACUGAGACACGGUCCAGACUCCUACGGGAGGCAGCAGUAGGGAAUCUUCCGCAAUGGGCGAAAGCCUGACGGAGCAAUGCCGCGUGAGUGAUGAAGGUCUUCGGAUCGUAAAACUCUGUUAUUAGGGAAGAACAAAUGUGUAAGUAUCUAUGCACGUCUUGACGGUACCUAAUCAGAAAGCCACGGCUAACUACGUG
RNAcentral lists this ribosomal RNA (497 nucleotides) under uncultured bacterium. RNAcentral's name for it is "partial 16S ribosomal RNA". It matches the Rfam family "Bacterial small subunit ribosomal RNA", at positions 28 to 507 of the family's 1533-position model. The record is from RNAcentral.